Molecule: long non-coding RNA, 550 nt
Organism: Gadus macrocephalus (Pacific cod)
Lineage: Eukaryota; Metazoa; Chordata; Actinopteri; Gadiformes; Gadidae
Exons: 2
Source: RefSeq, a predicted model, not a curated record
CCGAAUACUCGUACUUGCAUACUAUAUAGUAUGCAUUUUGUAGUAUGCGAAAAAUCUAGCGCGUCCGAAUACUCUAGUAUGCAUUCUGUAGUACGGAAGUCGUUUCCGAAUGCAUACUACCGCCAAAGUGUACCACGGACCACACUAUCCCACAAUGCAACCGGAGUCUGGUAACAAACGAAGAAGAGAUGGCUGACCCGACACCACCAACAGCGGCUUUUUAUGUGUGUGUGUGUGUGUGUGUGUGUGUGUGUGUGUGUGUGUGUGUGUGUGUGUGUGUGUGUGUGUGUGUGUGUGUGUGUGUGUGUGUGUGUGUGUGUGUGUGUGUGUGUGUGUGUGUGUGUGUGUGUGUGUGUGUGUGUGCGCGCGCGUGUCCAGUGGCGGAUUGGCCGUCGGGAGCACCGGGACGUUUCCCGGUGGCCUGAUGGUCCUCCUGGCCUGACUUGAACAGUCACCGGACUGAGUGACUGACGCCCGGGCCAAUCAAAUCGAUCCAUCUAGUUACGUAAUAACGCCGCUCGGCGACCUGUCGGCGUAACACAACAACCAA